UCGAAGUGAUACCCUAUGAUAUCAAGAAAAAUCCUAUGGAACAAAGAAGCAGAUAAUGAUCACAGAAGUGCAACAAAGACCACCAGGACCUGAUCAUCAAAUGUUAUGGUGUAGAUCUAAUCAGGAACAAGACACCUAAGUUGAACUCUGGCAAGGUUGUCCCAUGCAGAAGGUUUGAUACCCAGGCUUCUUUUGUACAAGUCCCUAGUCCACCCUCAUCUUGAGAACUGUUCCGGUGUCUGGGAUCCCUACAACAUCUCAGAUGUCCAGGACGCUACUUCACAAUGGGGACCACAAGAGAAGCAGCAGUUUGACUGAGAUGAUCAGCACCUUUUAGUUGCCUACUAUAUCUACAACUACAAGGCACUCUGCAAGAAGACUGGGAAUGGUGCACAAGAUAGUCGAUGGUCUCUCCGCUCUUCCUUGAAAAUUUUGCCACUGCACUACUUAUACCUACUUGCGCCCUCUAUAUAUCAAACAAUGCCUAAUCUGUGCCUGUUGGUCCCCCAUGAUCCUCUUUUUCUUAUAUUAAUUGAGAGCUGAUUUGAUGAGAUAACCACCUGUCAGUGACCUUGCAGGGUGGUCUUAUCCCCCAGACCAAACUAGACCAAACGGGCUUUAACAAAUCACGAGCAGGAAGUACCAUGACAUGACCCUCCAGUUGCACCAAGCCAGAAGCGACAUAGGUAGACAAGUUUGUAUGUGCCCAACACUCUGUCCCAAAGUUAAUGGAACUGACUUCCAGCAAAUAUAGUGCAUGCUGACAGUCCAGAGAACUGCCAGGGACUACUUCUGAGGCAUCUAUUAUCCUUAUCCCACUUAGAAACAAUCUGUCUUCCUCACACCACUUGUAAUCUUUAGUAUUAGUUCAUCUUCCUGAUAGGCUACAACGCCUUUUGAAGAUUACCA
Molecule: long non-coding RNA, 909 nt
Organism: Strongylocentrotus purpuratus (purple sea urchin)
Lineage: Eukaryota; Metazoa; Echinodermata; Echinoidea; Camarodonta; Strongylocentrotidae
Exons: 3
Source: RefSeq, a predicted model, not a curated record